RNAcentral lists this ribosomal RNA (617 nucleotides) under Triticum aestivum (bread wheat). RNAcentral's name for it is "partial small subunit ribosomal RNA". Lineage: Eukaryota; Viridiplantae; Streptophyta; Magnoliopsida; Poales; Poaceae. The record is from RNAcentral.
AUAAACACAUGUCCACAACAAAUGCACCACAAUCCUCCAAGAGGAUGAGCAAUCUAUUGGAAUCAGAGUAGUGAUUCCUUUUAUGGAUGGCAGCGAUAUGACGUAGUAGGGAAGGAGAAACCCCUUUAUGGCUGCAUCAAGAUCGUCUGUAGUUUUCGUUAAAGACCGCGGCAACGGCCCCUCCUAGAAGUUGUAGUUGGUCCAUGGAUUAAAGAACUACCGCUCUACCUUAACGAUACAGCACAUGUUUCCCUUCCAAGGCCCCCACAUGUUGCUCACCGUACUCACAGUCCGCGUUCACUUACCCAAGUGCCCGUGGUCGGUAUUUCCGAAGUUUUCGUCUGUUCUUCCUCUUCGAUCAAUGAACUCCAAGUGCGAUCGCGCUCUCUCCCGAGCAUUGGCGGUGGAGUACAUGACGUAUCAAGGCGAGAGUGAGUAUCACUAUCGAGAAGAACGCAUAUGGAAACAAAUCUACCUACUGCAACAACAUCAACGUUCAUAAGCUCUGAACGUACAUAGCGAUAAAAGCUCUACUACUGUUCUAUGGUGAAACAUAACCUACUACUAAUACUACUCUGAUAAACAUACAUAUACGAUACUAAUGUAAACACCAGAGC